Salmo salar (Atlantic salmon) is the source of this 686-nucleotide non-coding RNA. NCBI's taxonomy places the organism in Eukaryota, Metazoa, Chordata, Actinopteri, Salmoniformes, Salmonidae. The record is from RefSeq and is a predicted model, not a curated record.
UCUUUGACAAUUUUUAGGGCCUUCCUCUGACACUGCCUGGUGUAGAGAUCCAGGAUGGCAGGCAGCUUAGCCCCAGAAACUAUUUUAGAAGCGCUGAAACCUAUGGAGAUAACCCGUUGGUCUGGAAAGGCACAACAACCAGGAGAACUUCCUGUUGUGGAUCAACGAAGAGGACCACACCCGGGUCAUCUAGAUGGAGAAGGGCAGCAACAUGAAGAGGGUGUUUGAGAGGUUCUACAGGGGACUUGAGGAGGUGAAGAGGCUGAUCAUGGAGAAAGGCUGGGAGUUCAUGUGGAGCGAGAGGCUGGGAAACAUCCUCACCUGCCCCUCCAACCUGGGCACUGGACUCAGGGCAUCCUGCCUCGUUUUAGCAAGAAGAUGCUGGACAACCUGAUUCUGCAGAAGCGAGGUAUGGACGGCGUGGACUCCGCAACUGUGGCACAACCUCUGACAUCUCUAACCUGGCCAGACUGGGUGAGUCAGAGGUCCAGCUGGUUCAGAAUGUGAUUGAAGGGGUUAAAUACCUGAUUGUGUGUGAGAAGAGACUGGAGAGAGAUCAGGAUAUCCGAAUCCCUGCACCCAUCUCACAGUUCCAAGUAGAGAGAGACUGGCCUUGCAGAUUGCCCGACUUGCGAUUUUACAUUCACAAACAAUAUUCUUCAAUAAAGCUGUAUAAAUGCAAAUCA